Schistosoma rodhaini is the source of this 46-nucleotide non-coding RNA. NCBI's taxonomy places the organism in Eukaryota, Metazoa, Platyhelminthes, Trematoda, Strigeidida, Schistosomatidae. The record is from Rfam.
GCACUACUGAGGAGUCCCACAAUAGGACAAAACGACCGUCCAGUGC